Molecule: ribosomal RNA, 686 nt
Filed under: Reticulitermes sp. 1 SD-2015
Lineage: Eukaryota; Metazoa; Arthropoda; Insecta; Blattodea; Rhinotermitidae
Description: partial 16S ribosomal RNA
Rfam family: Archaeal large subunit ribosomal RNA (bases 347-508)
Source: RNAcentral
UUAGGGGUUUCUGGUUUUUCAGGAAAUGAAUUUAAUUCAUACGUCUUAUUUAGAGUUUUAUUAUUUUUGUUAUUUAUCUUUAUUUGUCGUUAAGAUUGGGAGGGAUUAGCUUCUUAUUUUAUUUUUAUAAUUUUUUAUUUAUUUAGUCUUGUGGAUUUUAUGGUGAUUUUCGAUUUGAUUAUGUUAAAAUUUUGUUUGUCUUUUUCUUUAUUUUUAGUUUAUUUAAUUAUUUAUUGAAAUGUGUUCUUUAUCUUUAAUUUUGGUUAGUAAUUAUUGUGGAAUUAGUAAAUUAGUUGUUAGAUUGUUUUAACAUGUGUUAAUUUUUUUUGAGGAACUAGGCAAAUUUCAUGUCCGCCUGUUUAACAAAAACAUCUUUUCUCGUUAGUUUUUGAAGUAUGGCCUGCCCACUGACUUUAUGUUGAAGGGCCGCGGUAUCUUGACCGUGCAAAGGUAGCAUAAUCAUUAGUUCUUUAAUUGUGAUCUGGUAUGAAUGGCUUGACGAGGCAUGGGCUGUCUUAAUUUUGAAUUAUUUAUUGAAUUUGGUCUUUGAGUUAAAAUUCUUAGAUGUUUUUAUGGGACGAGAAGACCCUAUAGAGUUUAACAUUUAUUAUGGUCUCUUUCUGUUUGUGAGGGUUCAUUGGGCCGUUUAGUAUGUUUUGUUGGGGUGAUGGGAGGGAUUUAUUUAA